AACGAACGCUGGCGGCAUGCCUAACACAUGCAAGUCGAACGAGACCUUCGGGUCUAGUGGCGCACGGGUGCGUAACGCGUGGGAACCUGCCUUUAGGUUCGGAAUAACUCAGAGAAAUUUGAGCUAAUACCGGAUGAUGUCUUCGGACCAAAGAUUUAUCGCCUUUAGAUGGGCCCGCGUUGGAUUAGCUAGUUGGUGGGGUAAAGGCCUACCAAGGCGACGAUCCAUAGCUGGUCUGAGAGGAUGAUCAGCCACACUGGGACUGAGACACGGCCCAGACUCCUACGCGACGAAGCAGUGGGGAAAAUUGGACAAUGGGCGAAAGCCUGAUCCAGCAAUGCCGUGUGAGUGAUGAAGGCCUUAGGGUUGUAAAGCUCUUUUACCCGAGAUGAUAAUGACAGUAUCGGGAGAAUAAGCUCCGGCUAACUCCGUG
This 433-nucleotide ribosomal RNA is filed under the name uncultured bacterium. Its description in RNAcentral is "partial 16S ribosomal RNA". It matches the Rfam family "Bacterial small subunit ribosomal RNA", at positions 29 to 507 of the family's 1533-position model. The record is from RNAcentral.